UUGAACGCUGGCGGCAUGCCUUACACAUGCAAGUCGAGCGGCAGCGCGGGGGCAACCCUGGCGGCGAGCGGCGAACGGGUGAGUAAUACAUCGGAACGUGUCCCGUCGUGGGGGAUAACCAGUCGAAAGACUGGCUAAUACCGCAUGAGAUCGAAAGAUGAAAGCGGGGGACCGCAAGGCCUCGCGCGAUGGGAGCGGCCGAUGCCGGAUUAGCUAGUUGGUGGGGUAAAAGCCUACCAAGGCGACGAUCCGUAGCUGGUUUGAGAGAACGACCAGCCACACUGGGACUGAGACACGGCCCAGACUCCUACGGGAGGCAGCAGUGGGGAAUUUUGGACAAUGGGCGCAAGCCUGAUCCAGCCAUGCCGCGUGUGUGAAGAAGGCCUUCGGGUUGUAAAGCACUUUCGGACGGAACGAAAUCGCACGGGCGAAUAUCCCGUGUGGAUGACGGUACCGUAAGAAGAAGCACCGGCUAACUACGU
This 482-nucleotide ribosomal RNA is filed under the name uncultured bacterium. RNAcentral describes it as "bacterial SSU rRNA". It matches the Rfam family "Bacterial small subunit ribosomal RNA", at positions 29 to 506 of the family's 1533-position model. The record is from RNAcentral.